GGUUGACCUCGGAUCAGGUAGGGAUACCCGCUGAACUUAAGCAUAUCAAUAAGCGGAGGAAAAGAAACCAACCGGGAUUGCCUCAGUAACGGCGAGUGAAGCGGCAACAGCUCAAAUUUGAAAUCUGGCCCUCACGGGGUCCGAGUUGUAAUUUGUAGAGGGUGUUUCGGGUGCGGUGCCGGUCUAAGUUCCUUGGAACAGGACGUCAUAGAGGGUGAGAAUCCCGUCUGCGAGUCGGCCACCAACCCCGGGUGAAACCCCUUCGACGAGUCGAGUUGUUUGGGAAUGCAGCUCAAAAUGGGUGGUAAAUUUCAUCUAAAGCUAAAUACCGGCCAGAGACCGAUAGCGCACAAGUAGAGUGAUCGAAAGAUGAAAAGCACUUUGGAAAGAGAGUUAAAAAGUACGUGAAAUUGUUGAAAGGGAAGCGCUUGCGACCAGACCUGCCCCCGGGCGAUCAUCCGCCAUUCGUGGCGGUGCACUCGCCCGGAUGCAGGCCAGCAUCGGUUCGGGCGGCGGGACAAAGGACUCGGGAACGUAGCUCUCUCCGGGGAGCCUUAUAGCCCGGGUCGUCAUGCCGCCCGCCUGGACCGAGGACCGCGCUUCGGCUAGGAUGCUGGCGUAAUGGUCGUAAGCGACCCGUCUUGAAACACGGACCAAGGAGUCUACCAUUCAUGCGAGUGUUUGGGUGUCAAACCCAGGCGCGGAAUGAAAGUGAACGGAGGUGAGACCCCGCAAGGGCGCAUCAUCGACCGAUCCAGAUGUCUUCGGAUGGAUUUGAGUACGAGCAUGGCUGGUGGGACCCGAAAGAUGAUGAACUAUGCCUGAAUAGGGUGAAGCCAGAGGAAACUCUGGUGGAGGCUCGCAGCGGUUCUGACGUGCAAAUCGAUCGUCGAAUUUGGGUAUAGGGGCGAAAGACCAAUCGAAUCAUCUAGUAGCUGGUUUACGUC
This 947-nucleotide ribosomal RNA is filed under the name Psoroma cinnamomeum. Its description in RNAcentral is "eukaryotic LSU rRNA". It matches the Rfam family "Eukaryotic large subunit ribosomal RNA", at positions 1 to 962 of the family's 3401-position model. The record is from RNAcentral. Lineage: Eukaryota; Fungi; Ascomycota; Lecanoromycetes; Peltigerales; Pannariaceae.